GACGAACGCUGGCGGCGUGCUUAACACAUGCAAGUCGAACGGAAAGGCCCUGCUUUUGUGGGGUGCUCGAGUGGCGAACGGGUGAGUAACACGUGAGUAACCUGCCCUUGACUUUGGGAUAACUUCAGGAAACUGGGGCUAAUACCGGAUAGGAGCUCCUGCUGCAUGGUGGGGGUUGGAAAGUUUCGGCGGUUGGGGAUGGACUCGCGGCUUAUCAGCUUGUUGGUGGGGUAGUGGCUUACCAAGGCUUUGACGGGUAGCCGGCCUGAGAGGGUGACCGGCCACAUUGGGACUGAGGUACGGCCCAGACGCCUACGGGAGGCAGCAGUGGGGAAUAUUGCACAAUGGGCGGAAGCCUGAUGCAGCAACGCCGCAUGCGGGAUGACGGCCUUCGGGUUGUAAACCGCUUUCGCCUGUGACGAAGCGUGAGUGACGGUAAUGGGUAAAGAAGCACCGGCUAACUACGUG
This 468-nucleotide ribosomal RNA is filed under the name uncultured bacterium. RNAcentral describes it as "partial 16S ribosomal RNA". It matches the Rfam family "Bacterial small subunit ribosomal RNA", at positions 28 to 507 of the family's 1533-position model. The record is from RNAcentral.